Long non-coding RNA from Malurus melanocephalus (red-backed fairy wren), 2936 nucleotides. RefSeq lists it as uncharacterized. The transcript has 6 exons. The record is from RefSeq and is a predicted model, not a curated record. NCBI's taxonomy places the organism in Eukaryota, Metazoa, Chordata, Aves, Passeriformes, Maluridae.
CCGGCCCCCGCCCCGGCCCCCGCCCCGGCCCGCCCGACCCCUGCCCGCAGCGGGCCGCGGUCCCAACCCCAUGCGUCCCACUGGUCUGGAAUAAUGUUUGGAGGAGCCUGGCAGUCUGGUCCCUUUCRUAGCUCCCAAGGAUUUUUAGGAUCAUGGGAUGCAUGGACAUAAGGACCCACAAAACCUUCUGAAGAAUGCCAGCUGUGGAUAACACAUCUGGAAGUUCCUACCAUCUUCCUACCCUGUUUUUUCCKGGGUCAUCUCUGUGUCAUUUGUGGCCCUGAGGAUUACAGCAUACAGUCAUUUACUGGAAUACCUCCCUAUGCAUCUUCUUAUGAUGGAGCGUUGCUUUACCCAGCUGGAAGAUAUUCUGUCUUCUCCCAGAGCUUUCCCAGUGCAGCAGCAUUCCUGUCCAACAGGUCUUGGUUGACUGCAAAAAGGAGAAAGGAGGAGUGUGUCAAAGGGAGGUCAGAUCCUGCCAGGGUUUCCUGGGAAAUGAGGUGUAUCCGCUGUUUGGAUGAUGAAGCUUGAUGAGCUGUGAUUUGGUUUGGAUUACAGUAUUUCAGAAGACUUUCUGAACUUGCCAGACAACUCUUCCCCUAGACUUUGGGGACAGUGGAGCUUAASUUUAUAUCUCCAGUGUCACACAAGGAGAAAGAGCAGAGUUGGCUGCUUUGCACAAGUAAUGAAAAUCAAUGCUGUGUUGCUCUUGGGAGGAAUGCUCAAAAGGAGAAAAGCCUGGCGUAUAGAUCUCCCUUUAGAGACAGAUUUUGCCUGGGAGGAGCAUGCCCAAGGGAAGACACAGGAAGAAGAGGUGAUGCUACAAGCCAUUUCCUGGCCUCCAGAGUGGGACUGAAGCUUCUUAACAAGAUUUUCUAACUAUGGAAGCUCUCCUGAGGAGCUGCAUUACGCGCAGCUGCCCCUGGCAUGGGAUGCAGAGCAAGGAGUGAAGGACAGCUGCAAUGUGCCCCUGCAGGACAGAUGAUAUUUCCUGUUUGAGAUGCUUUGUAUGCAAAUCAAGGUGGUACAAGAUGAAAAAACGUCCUGAAAGCAAUCACACCRAUAAACUCAGACCACUGGGGAAUUCCUGCUUAUCAUUUAUCCUUUCUUUUUUUAGUUUUGUACAACGCACUUCUCUGCAUUCUCUUUCUUACAGUCUUUAAUGUUUGUCCUGCCAGACCUCUUGCUUAUGAACUACAGUGCUUGCAUUUCGCAGGGCUUGAUGUCAGUCUGCACAAACAAAAAGCAGUAAAUGCUGAAAAUUGGGGUUAACAGUCCCUGUGUUUCAGCUUGAUCUUGCAUUGAUCUGGUGCUUUCUGAAGUUCAAGCUGACAUGGGCCUCACACUACAGAUUGCCAUGUGCCUGUAGUGAUGAUGUACCUGGAAAGAUGAUCCCAGAAACCUCAGGAAAAAAGAAAAGGAGCGAUAAAAAGCAAAAAGACGCAGCAAAAGGUUUCUCUAGUAACUUAAACAGGAGCAGGAUUUGACCUGAGGCACCCCAAGAGAUGGUGUGGGCAGCCCUUGUACUAACCYGGUAACAUGAGUUGAUCACCUCAUUGCUCCAGCAAAGCAAACUCACAUGGAAUCACAGACUGGUUUAGGUGAAAAGACACCUUAAAGAUCAUCAUGCUGAACCCCCUUGCCAUGGGCAGGGACACCUUGUAUUAGACCAGGUUGCUCAGGGCCCCUUCCAGCCYGGCCUUGRACACUUCCAGGGAUGGGGCAUCCACAACUUCCCUGARYAUCUGCUCAGCUCMUGCCCUAUAGAUGUCCCUAUAAGUGGAUGGGGCUGAUCAAAGCCUUGCUCUCACCAGGCUACUGCCCUGCUGCCAGCUGCAACAUUGCACUGAUGUUUUUUACAGCAAGUUGUGAGGGUGAGAAAAAGACUCAGGAGCAGAAAAGGAGACAUGUCAGAGAGUGCAGAACUACACUGCCAAAGAGCAUUCCCAUGCGUGUCCAGAGAUACCCAGUGCUGCCCAUCUUGUCAAAUCAUGCUGUGGUUGCUCUGGCCUUUGUGUGGGGAGCAGUGAUAAUCAUUGUGUGUCRUGUUGGGUUUUAUUAUUUGCUUUUUUUCCUCAAAUGUUAAAUUAACAAUCAAACUGGCGUUGGUGAGGCAGCAAGCCUGGUGCAGCUUUUAUCUGUCCUGAACCUUGGGACAAAGGAGGGGAGGAAAAUGGCUUGGCUGGYUGGGCGGCCGUGCACGUAACGGUCCCGGAGUUCAAAGCAAAGGGCACAACAGUCAGAUACCCAAACCCGCCUGGGCUUGGGCUGAUAAGUCACAUUUCAAAGUAAAAGGCAAUCCUGAAGGGGCUCUGCUGAGUGCCUAAAGCCUCCGGUGCUGAGUCUUCUUCAAAAGGGGAUUUCAUAAGGAGUAAUAUGAACAGAAAUGGCUCUUUUGUGGUUUUACACAUUCCAGGCAUGCCAGGACUGUUCCUGUCAAGGAUGGGCAGUCUCUGGGGUUUUGGGUUCUUUCCCUUUUUUUUUUUUUUCCCCAAAUAUUUGCCACAAACUAGCAGCUGAAAUGGUGAAAAAUAAAUGAGAGUUGCAAAAUCAUUACAGUAGCAGUAAUGGAAACUGUGAGGCUUAAACUGGCUGUGAGCUUUCACUCCAUCUUCUGCGCUGCUGCACUGUGAGGAUUGCUGCUUUUACCUGCUAUUUGAUAGCAGGAUGAUUUGGAAGCAGAGCUUUAACUGUUGGUUACCCAGGAUCUCAAAAACAGUGCUUUUGGUUUUUUCAGAAGCAAURCCUUUUCAGCUGAACCACUGUUAAGUACAAAUUCCUUCAGUGUCAGUGCAGUGAUGUGACUGUGCAGCAUCUUCACAUGAUUAUUUCUGCAGUCCUGUGUGUACAGAAAUGGGGCCCAGCUGUUCCUGCUUCAGAUGCUCUUUUUUUUUUCACCCAGAUUGUGCCAGUUUGGUUUGCACCCGUACACUUCA